GACGAACGCUGGCGGCGUGCCUAAUACAUGCAAGUCGAGCGGAUUAAGCGUUUCUUCGGAAACGCCUAGUUAGCGGCGGACGGGUGAGUAACACGUGGGUAACCUGCCUGUAAGACUGGGAUAACAUUCGGAAACGAAUGCUAAUACCGGAUACGCGGUUUGGUCGCAUGACCGAAUCGGGAAAGAUGGAGCAAUCUAUCACUUACAGAUGGACCCGCGGCGCAUUAGCUAGUUGGUGAGGUAACGGCUCACCAAGGCGACGAUGCGUAGCCGACCUGAGAGGGUGAUCGGCCACACUGGGACUGAGACACGGCCCAGACUCCUACGGGAGGCUG
Molecule: ribosomal RNA, 335 nt
Filed under: uncultured Bacillota bacterium
Lineage: Bacteria; Bacillati; Bacillota
Description: bacterial SSU rRNA
Rfam family: Bacterial small subunit ribosomal RNA
Source: RNAcentral